Molecule: ribosomal RNA, 532 nt
Filed under: Bacillus cereus
Lineage: Bacteria; Bacillati; Bacillota; Bacilli; Caryophanales; Bacillaceae
Description: bacterial SSU rRNA
Rfam family: Bacterial small subunit ribosomal RNA
Source: RNAcentral
GGGUGACGCUGGCGGCGUGCCUAUACAUGCAGUCGAGCGAAUGGAUUAAGAGCUUGCUCUUAUGAAGUUAGCGGCGGACGGGUGAGUAACACGUGGGUAACCUGCCCAUAAGACUGGGAUAACUCCGGGAAACCGGGGCUAAUACCGGAUAACAUUUUGAACCGCAUGGUUCGAAAUUGAAAGGCGGCUUCGGCUGUCACUUAUGGAUGGACCCGCGUCGCAUUAGCUAGUUGGUGAGGUAACGGCUCACCAAGGCAACGAUGCGUAGCCGACCUGAGAGGGUGAUCGGCCACACUGGGACUGAGACACGGCCCAGACUCCUACGGGAGGCAGCAGUAGGGAAUCUUCCGCAAUGGACGAAAGUCUGACGGAGCAACGCCGCGUGAGUGAUGAAGGCUUUCGGGUCGUAAAACUCUGUUGUUAGGGAAGAACAAGUGCUAGUUGAAUAAGCUGGCACCUUGACGGUACCUAACCAGAAAGCCACGGCUAACUACGUGCCAGCAGCCGCGGUAAUACGUAGGUGGCAAGCGUU